CCAGGGACAUCGGAGUCUUUGAACGCAAGUUGCGCCCGAUGCCAUUAGGUUGAGGGCACGUCUGCCUGGGUGUCACAUAUCGAAGCCUCCUGCCAAUUUCCAUUUGACUAUUGUGCAGGGUGGAUGUUGGCCUCCCGUGAGCUCUUUUGUCUCAUGGUUGGUUGAAAAUUGAGACCUUGGUAGGGUGUGCCAUGAUAGAUGGUGGUUGUGUGACCCACGAGACCAAUCAUGCGCUGCUCUAUUGAAUUUGGCCUCUUUUACCCAUAUGCGUUUCUAAACGCUCGUGAUGAGACCUCAGGUCAGGCGGGGCUACCCGCUGAAUUUAAGCAUAUCAAUAAGCGGAGGAAAAGAAACUAACAAGGAUUCCCUUAGUAACGGCGAGCGAACCGGGAUAAGCCCACCAUGAGAAUCGAUCGCCCUCGGCGUUCGAAUUGUAGUUGAAAAAAACCGUCAAAAAG
This 458-nucleotide ribosomal RNA is filed under the name Vicia amoena. Its description in RNAcentral is "eukaryotic LSU rRNA". The stretch from base 290 to 458 matches the Rfam family "Eukaryotic large subunit ribosomal RNA", at positions 1 to 169 of the family's 3401-position model. Lineage: Eukaryota; Viridiplantae; Streptophyta; Magnoliopsida; Fabales; Fabaceae. The record is from RNAcentral.